UACGUAGGGGGCGAGCGUUGUCCGGAAUUAUUGGGCGUAAAGAGCGUGUAGGCGGUUCGGUAAGUCUGCCGUGAAAACCUGGGGCUCAACCCCGGGCGUGCAGUGGAUACUGCCGGGCUAGAGGGUGGUAGAGGCGAGUGGAAUUCCCGGUGUAGCGGUGAAAUGCGCAGAUAUCGGGAGGAACACCAGUAGCGAAGGCGGCUCGCUGGGCCAUUCCUGACGCUGAGACGCGAAAGCUAGGGGAGCGAACAGG
RNAcentral lists this ribosomal RNA (253 nucleotides) under uncultured bacterium. RNAcentral's name for it is "partial 16S ribosomal RNA". It matches the Rfam family "Bacterial small subunit ribosomal RNA", at positions 524 to 776 of the family's 1533-position model. The record is from RNAcentral.